CAGUAGCCGCGGGAAUACAGAGGGUGCAAGCGUUAAUCGGAAUUACUGGGCGUAAAGCGCGCGUAGGUGGUUUGUUAAGUUGGAUGUGAAAUCCCCGGGCUCAACCUGGGAACUGCAUCCAAAACUGGCAAGCUAGAGUAUGGUAGAGGGUGGUGGAAUUUCCUGUGUAGCGGUGAAAUGCGUAGAUAUAGGAAGGAACACCAGUGGCGAAGGCGACCACCUGGACUGAUACUGACACUGAGGUGCGAAAGCGUGGGGAGCAAACAGGAUUAGAUACCCCCGUAGUCCCUGUCUCUUAUAA
This 301-nucleotide ribosomal RNA is filed under the name uncultured bacterium. RNAcentral's name for it is "partial 16S ribosomal RNA". It matches the Rfam family "Bacterial small subunit ribosomal RNA", at positions 509 to 809 of the family's 1533-position model. The record is from RNAcentral.